This 364-nucleotide long non-coding RNA is filed under the name Homo sapiens (human). RNAcentral describes it as "HSALNT0041802". Lineage: Eukaryota; Metazoa; Chordata; Mammalia; Primates; Hominidae. The record is from RNAcentral.
AAAAAAAAAAAAAAAAAGAGGAUAAAAUUUAGGACUCACUAUACGGACGGAAAUUGAAGGGAAAAAUCUCUGGAAGGUGAAGCCAUAAAAGCUGCAUAUAAACACCACAUACAUCCUUGUCUGAUGUCUAAUCUACAUAUGCAUCAUGAUUUUAAGGCGAAUGCCAUAGCUGGAAGACUGAAACAACUGAGCAGAGGUUCCAACUUUUUUCAAUUAGCAACCUAAAAUGACAUGGUUAUAUGGGGGACUCUGGGAAGAUCUACACUGAGAACAUGAACACGGCAACGUGGGGUACCUCAAAAAUUGAGAAAAGGCUCAAUAGAGUUGAGUGUCUCCCCUUCUCCUCAAAACAUACAUUCCAUCA